UACGGAGGGCGCAAGCGUUAAUCGGAAUUACUGGGCGUAAAGCGCACGAAGGCGGUCUGUCAAGUCGGAUGUGAAAUCCCCGGGCGCAACCUGGGAACUGCAUCCGAAACUGGCAGGCUAGAGUCUUGUAGUGGGGGGUAGAAUUCCAGGUGUAACGGUGAAAUGCGUAGAGAUCUGGAGGAAUACCUGUGGCGAAGGCGGCCCCUUGGACAAACACUGACGCUCAGGUGCGAAAGCGUGGGGAGCAAACAGG
This 253-nucleotide unclassified non-coding RNA is filed under the name uncultured Enterobacteriaceae bacterium. RNAcentral's name for it is "contains 16S-23S intergenic spacer region". It matches the Rfam family "Bacterial small subunit ribosomal RNA", at positions 524 to 776 of the family's 1533-position model. The record is from RNAcentral. Lineage: Bacteria; Pseudomonadati; Pseudomonadota; Gammaproteobacteria; Enterobacterales; Enterobacteriaceae.